Long non-coding RNA from Myotis davidii, 801 nucleotides. RefSeq lists it as uncharacterized. The record is from RefSeq and is a predicted model, not a curated record. NCBI's taxonomy places the organism in Eukaryota, Metazoa, Chordata, Mammalia, Chiroptera, Vespertilionidae. The transcript is spliced from 2 exons.
UGUCUGCAGAGCCACUCUCAAGAAUGGACAGAAAGUUUGCCUCAACCCCGAAUCACCCCUGGUUAAGAAAAUAUUGGAAAAGAUGUUAAACAAGGGCAGCACCAACUGAGAGAGAAGCUCAUGGUGGCAGUUCCUGAAAGGAGGUCCCUGCUCUUACAGGACUGAAAUGAAGAUGGGAACAGCUGGGUUUCAUCAACAACUAGAAAGGGAUUACUGUGCUUGUUGUUUUUUAAACCAGAGAUCUAUUUAUUUAUAUAUGUAUUUAUUUUCAAAGCUUGUAUUUUAACAUUUUAAUGUAUUUAAAGGUGUGAAACAUGUGAAUGUGUUUAAUCAAACGUAACUCAGUUCUGAUUGUUAUUUAAUUUGAAGAUGAGGGGUUUUAAGUGUCUCAUGAAACUAAUAUUUAUUGGGAGACCAUUAAGUGAAGGGGGGGUGUAUGGGAGGGGGGAAUCUAAGCAAUUUGACAAUGAGGUAGAUCAAUAUUGGGGUCAGAGAAAGUGUGUGCACAUCUGUUUUUGUACUUGUUUAAAAUAAUGUCACUUGUUAUUUAUUGAAACUAUUUUGUUACACAGUCAACAUUUUGAUGUUGAAGAUUCCUUUGGACAUUUUAUGUCUUGCUUGUAAGGCAUAAUGCCUUGUUUAAUGUUAUUAUGCAAUAUCUCUCUUUGUCUUAUUGUAAGGCAUAAUGCCUUGGUUAAUGUUAUUAUGCAAUGUCUCUCUUUGUCUUAGAACAGAGAAGUUAAAGCUACUGUUACAUUUUUUUUACAAAUGGCUUAAAAAUAAAAGUUUUACAAAAUAUAA